Molecule: ribosomal RNA, 496 nt
Filed under: uncultured bacterium
Lineage: Bacteria
Description: partial 16S ribosomal RNA
Rfam family: Bacterial small subunit ribosomal RNA
Source: RNAcentral
AUGAACGCUGGCGGCGUGCCUAAUCCAUGCAAGUCGAGCGAACGGACGAGAAGCUUGCUUCUCUGAUGUUAGCGGCGGACGGGUGAGUAACACGUGGAUAACCUACCUAUAAGACUGGGAUAACUUCGGGAAACCGGAGCUAAUACCGGAUAAUAUUUUGAACCGCAUGGUUCAAAAGUGAAAGACGGUCUUGCUGUCACUUAUAGAUGGAUCCGCGCUGCAUUAGCUAGUUGGUAAGGUAACGGCUUACCAAGGCAACGAUGCAUAGCCGACCUGAGAGGGUGAUUGGCCACACUGGAACUGAGACACGGUCCAGACUCCUACGGGAGGCAGCAGUAGGGAAUCUUCCGCAAUGGGCGAAAGCCUGACGGAGCAACGCCGCGUGAGUGAUGAAGGUCUUCGGAUCGUAAAACUCUGUUAUUAGGGAAGAACAUAUGUGUAAGUAACUGUGCACAUCUUGACGGUACCUAAUCAGAAAGCCACGGCUAACUACGUG